UACAGAGGUCUCAAGCGUUGUUCGGAUUCAUUGGGCGUAAAGGGUGCGUAGGUGGCGCGAUAAGUCGGGUGUGAAAUCUCGGAGCUUAACUCCGAAACUGCAUUCGAUACUGCGGUGCUUGAGGACUGGAGAGGAGACUGGAAUUCAUGGUGUAGCAGUGAAAUGCGUAGAGAUCAUGAGGAAGACCAGUGGCGAAGGCGGGUCUCUGGACAGUUCCUGACACUGAGACACGAAGGCCAGGGGAGCAAACGGG
RNAcentral lists this ribosomal RNA (253 nucleotides) under uncultured bacterium. RNAcentral describes it as "partial 16S ribosomal RNA". It matches the Rfam family "Bacterial small subunit ribosomal RNA", at positions 524 to 776 of the family's 1533-position model. The record is from RNAcentral.